GUGGAGGUUGAUCCUUCACCACAACUGAGAGGCUCAUCUCUCACCACGACAGACUUGAGGGGUUCUCUGCCAUCUGAUCCUUCACCACAACAGUGGAGGCUGAUCUCUCACCGCAACACAGAGGCUGAUCUCUCAUGAUCUCUCACCACGACACGAGCUUCCUGCCUUCAGAUCCUUCUCUAUGGACCGUUUGCUGACGGACUUCCCUGGGCCUGCUACCUGAGACCUGCUGCUUCCUCCCUGACCUGCACCCUCUCAUUGCCAAGACCGGCCUCGCUGCUCCUGCCCUUCGGCCUCGGACCGUCAGAACGUCGUGCAACGGGACUACUGCCGGAUCCUGGGCAAGAGAGAACAAUGGUCAUGCAAGGAAUUCUGGAGAGAGAAUGGUAGAAUGGUUACAACGAGCUCACUGGGAGAUCUGAUCCCAGUCACCAGCUGAGAGGACAGAGGAGAACACAACUUGCGCUCCCGAUCCCUUCAGAAGUCUUCCCAGAGCCCUGACGUCCCUUCUGAUCACCCAAAGGCUUCUUUUGCCUACCUCUUCAUUUCCAAUGUGGAAAACCAGUAACGGAGAAUAAUCGGAGGGCUUAACGAGGUGUCGUUAAUCGGAGGCUUAAUGACAACACACCUCCCUGUGGGAUGGAUCUGAGCAGCAUAUCGGGCCCUCGGUUCCCCUCAGAAGGGAGUUCCCUAUGACGACAAGUUUUUUUGUUUUGUUUUGUUCCCCUCCCCCCCCCCCCCCUCCCCCCCCAAGUGACGUAGCAAAAUGGGGAGCAGACUGACUAGCCUUGGGCAACCUCUCCUGCAUGGAUGGACUUUCACCAACAUCCACAGCUCCUACUCCCUCCAGCUUCAGAGCCUCAUACCUGUUUUGUAAGGGCACCUGGGAAGGUGGGACAGGCUGAGGGGCAGUCUGCUUGCUGCCCUGAACAGGGACUUGUUUCCAUCCCUCGCUGUCUUUGAGGUCACUCCUUCCCACCUGACUGUGAGACAGCAGAUGAUCCCCCACUGCUUGAGGAGCAUCUCCCCUGCACCCUUUCUGUAGGGAUGGCAGAGUGCAACUUUACUAGUCAAUCCCCUUCCCACAAUCCCGGAUGCUCCUCCCUUUCUUCCUCCUUCUGCUCUACCACCAGCCUGAGCAGAUCCUCCACCUGCUCACACUGCACACAGGUAGUAUCCUGGCUGCCCUCCUGUACCAGUAACAUGGCCAGGCAUUCUCCGCAACCUGAGACCCGAACUGUGGCAUGGACAUUCAUGCUUUCUGUCUGAGUCUCCACGUUCCUUUUAGCAGCAGCUCACCUCCGUUUGGUGACCAUGGUUGCACCUCGGUGUGUCCAGAGAGCAACGACCUGUUAAGUGACCUGUUAAGUGCUAAGUGCUAAGCCCCCUCCUAUAUGGCAAGGUGCCCUGCCCUGCCCUGCCUGCCCGCUGAUUUGCUCGGGGUUUGCCCUAGAAAUCACUCUUUUCACAGCAAGACAACAACCUGCCUUCCUGCAUAGUCACGCAAAUAGGUGGCUUACUAUUUCACCUCCUCAGAACAGCCCAAGUGAUUCAAACACCCUGACUCCUCCUCUCCAUCCCCAAGGCUUUUUCUAGGCAGGGGGCGUGGAUGCAGAGCCGUUGCCCUGGCAACGCCCACUUCAUGUCAGCCACUCUCCCAAGAGCUGCCAGGCUGCUCUGUUAUCCCGGGGUUCCCUGAAUAAAGGAACCGGCCAAAACACCCCUGUACCUCGUGAUCAGUCACUGUGGUUCUGGCUGGGACAGCUCCGAAGCAGCUAACCUCGGCAAUCAAAUUGAGUUACUAUCUUCACGUACUUCAAAAUUUCUCAGUUUUCUAAAGUCAAGUAUUGAUAGUGAAAUCUCAAAACUGCUUAACCAAUGUUUAUACAGAUUUUUUUUUUCUGAUCAAUCUUGAAUCAUUCUAAAGCAACUUCAAAAUAAUAUAAAGUUAUUACCAUAUGAAUUGCUUUUAUUUUGAUAAAAAAUAUUACUUUAGAUCUCUAAAUCUAAACUUCAUAAGCCAAACUUUACCUUUUUAGUCAACUUUUUUUUUUUUUUUUUUUUAAGUUUUGUGAGUGUGUGUGUGUGAGUGUGUGAAAAAGUAAUGUAUUUGGAUCUCAGUACAUGACAUAUGAUCCUCGGUAAUGAAAUUUGUAUGGCUCAGAAACGUGCAACAAUUUUAUCAGUGUAUUUUCCAAAUAUUUUGAUGCACUUGAGAAGAAAAAAAAAUAGGAAAAGCGAAAAGGAAGGAAAACAUAGGAACACAUAUGUUUAUGCAGAACAAAUAAUCUUUUAAUUAAUCUUCAGUACAGUAUACAGACUAAUAAUUGCAUUUCAUCACAGAAUCACAGAAUCACAGUAUGGCCUGGGUUGGAAGGGAUCUCAGGAAUCAUGAAUCUCUAACCCCCCCGCCACAGGCAGGGCCAUCACAUGUAGAAAAAAAAACUGAUAUUGAAGUUUAGGAAUCAAUAUCUAAAAGGAAUGUCAAGGAAUUCAGACUACCACUAAAACUGUGAAUGCACAUUACUGAAUGCUUCUCUUUACUUGGAAGAGAUUUAUGAGGAAAGCUGUGUGUAUAUAUUAUAUAUACAAGGUCCUCAAACAGCAAAAUAACAUUAGCGUAAGCCAAAAUAAAGGUCAAUUUCCAAGCAUG
Gallus gallus (chicken) is the source of this 2653-nucleotide long non-coding RNA. NCBI's taxonomy places the organism in Eukaryota, Metazoa, Chordata, Aves, Galliformes, Phasianidae. The record is from Ensembl.